GCGCACGGCGGAUGCCUUGGCACAGGGAGCCGAUGAAGGACGCGGCAAGCUGCGAUAAUCCCCGGCGAGGAGCACACAUCCUUCGACCCGGGGGUCUCCGAAUGGGCGAACCCAUCCGUAGCAGUACGGAUAUCCCGACCCCGAACACAUAGGGGCCGGGAGGACAACCCGGGGAACUGAAACAUCUAAGUACCCGGAGGAGAGGAAAUCAAUCUCGAGACUCCCCGAGUAGCGGCGAGCGAAAGGGGACCGAUGGCCAAACCGUCGAGCGGGCAUACCCGGCAGGGGUUCCGCCGACGGGGUUGCAGGGCCGCGCAUCCGGGGGCUGCCGCCCCCGGGCGCAGGUCCGGCUGGGGAGCGGAACGGCAUGGGAGGGCCGGCCGCAGCGGGUGACAGCCCCGUACGCGAACCCAGACCGGACGGCGCGACGCGGUCCCUGAGUAGGGCCGGGCACGUGAAACCCGGUCCGAACCUGGGUGGACCACCAUCCAAGCCUGAGUACUACCCUGUGACCGAUAGCGCACCAGUACCGUGAGGGAAAGGUGAAAAGCACCCCGGGAGGGGAGUGAAACAGUACCUGAAACCGUGCGCCCACGAGCAGUCGGAGCACCCUUGUGGUGUGACGGCGUGCCUUUUGUAGAAUGAGCCAGCGAGUCGCUGGCGCGGGGCGAGGUUAACCGAAAGGGAGCCGGAGCGAAAGCGAGCCUUAACAGGGCGACUUGAGUCCCGCGCCGCGGACGCGAAGCCGGGUGAGCUAUCCGUGGGCAGGCUGAAGCGGGGGUAAGACCCCGUGGAGGGCCGAACGCACGUCGGUUGAAAACGGCGGCGAUGACCUGCGGAUAGGGGUGAAAGGCCAAUCAAACCCGGAGAUAUCUCGUUCUCCCCGAAAUAGCUUUAGGGCUAGCGUCGCGCGUUCACCGCCGGAGGUAGAGCACCGGAUGGACGAGGGGGCUUCGCCGCCUACCGAAUCCAACCGAACUCCGAAUGCCGGCGGCCCAGAGCGCGGCAGUCAGAGCAUGUGGGCUAAGCUGUGUGCUCGAGAGGGAAACAGCCCGGACCGCCCGCUAAGGUCCCCAAGUUCCAGCCGAGUGGCAAAGGAUGUGCGUCCGCCCAGACAACCAGGAUGUUGGCUUAGAAGCAGCCAUCCAUUCAAAGAGUGCGUAACAGCUCACUGGUCGAGUGGACAUGCGCCGACAAUACACGGGGCUAAGCUGGACACCGAAGCGGCGGGAUUUUACCUAAGUAGAAUCGGUAGGGGAGCUUCCCAUGGGCGGGGAAGCCGCCGGGCGACCGGCGGUGGAGCGCAUGGGAGUGAGAAUGCUGGCAUGAGUAGCGAGAGACGAGAGAGUAACUCGUCCGCCGUGAACCCGAGGUUUCCUGGGCAAGGCUAAUCCUCCCAGGGUCAGUCGGGGGCUAAGGCGAGGCCGGGAGGCGUAGCCGACGCGCAGCAGGCAGACAUUCCUGCACCGCGCACGCGGCGCUACGACCGACGGGGCGACGGAUGGGGGUGGCUCGGCGGGGUUCUGGACGUCCCCGUGAUGGAGCGCGGCCCGCGGACCAGGGAAAUCCGGUCCGCACGAGGGCGAGGCUCCGGACGAAGCGAUCAAGCGAAGCGAGUGAGCCCGAGGUCCCUAGAAAAACCCCUANNNNNNNNNNACAGGGCGAGGCUCCGGACGAAGCAUCUGAGCGAAGCGAGUGAGCCCGAGGUCCCUAGAAAAACCCCUAGGCAGGCGCGUGCGCGCCCGUACCGCAAACCGACACAGGUGGGUGGGUAGAACAUACCGAGGCGAUCGGGUCAACCAUGGUCAAGGAACUCGGCACAAUGGCCCCGUAACUUCGGGAGAAGGGGUGCCCGCGCGUACGUGAACGGACUUGCUCCGGGAGCGGAGGCGGGCCGCAGUGGAGAGGCCCAAGCGACUGUUUACCAAAAACACAGGACUCUGCAGAAGCCGCAAGGCGACGUAUAGGGUCUGACGCCUGCCCGGUGCCGGAAGGUCACGCGGAGGAGUUAGCGCAUCGCGCGAAGCCCCGAAGCCAAGCCCCGGUAAACGGCGGCCGUAACUAUAACGGUCCUAAGGUAGCGAAAUUCCUUGUCGGGUAAGUUCCGACCUGCACGAAAGGCGCAACGACUUGGGCGCUGUCUCGACCAUGGACCCGGUGAAAUUGCACUGGUCGUGAAGAUGCGACUUACCCGCGGAAGGACGGAAAGACCCCGUGAACCUUCACUGCAGCUUGGCAUUGGCCGCUGGUCCCGCGUGUAGAGGAUAGGCAGGAGGCACAGAUCCGGAGGCGCCAGCCCCCGGGGAGCCGCCCUUGGAAUACUGCCCUCGCGCGACCGGCGUCCUAACCCGAGGCCGUCGACCGGCUCGGGGACCGUGCCAGGCGGGCAGUUUGACUGGGGCGGUCGCCUCCUAAAGGGUAACGGAGGCGCGCGAAGGUCCGCUCGGGACGGUCGGCAACCGUCCUUUUGAAUGCAAGAGUACAAGCGGGCUUGACUGCGAGGCCCACAAGCCGAGCAGGUGCGAAAGCAGGCUCUAGUGAUCCGGCGGCCCCGAGUGGGUGGGCCGUCGCUCAACGGAUAAAAGGUACUCCGGGGAUAACAGGCUGAUCUUGCCCAAGAGUCCACAUCGACGGCAAGGUUUGGCACCUCGAUGUCGGCUCAUCGCAUCCUGGGGCUGGAGCAGGUCCCAAGGGUACGGCUGUUCGCCGUUUAAAGCGGUACGCGAGCUGGGUUCAGAACGUCGUGAGACAGUUCGGUCCCUAUCCUCCGUGGGCGCAGGAGAAUCGAUGGAGGCUGCCCCCAGUACGAGAGGACCGGGGUGGACGCACCUCCGGUGAACCGGUUGUCGACCAACGGCACGGCCGGGUAGCCGCGUGCGGCGCGGAUAACCGCUGAAGGCAUCUAAGCGGGAAGCCGUUCCAGGGAUUAGUUCUCCUUCCGGUAAGGGCCCAGGUAGACUACCUGGUCGAUAGACGGCAGGUGCAAGGCUGGCGACAGCCUCAGCCGAGCCGCACUAAUCGCCCGAGCU
Molecule: ribosomal RNA, 3029 nt
Filed under: uncultured Collinsella sp.
Lineage: Bacteria; Bacillati; Actinomycetota; Coriobacteriia; Coriobacteriales; Coriobacteriaceae
Description: Archaeal large subunit ribosomal RNA
Rfam family: Bacterial large subunit ribosomal RNA
Source: RNAcentral